UAGCAAUACGAUGGAAAGUUUAGUGGCGAACGGGUGCUUAACACGUGGGCAACCUGCCAGGAAGUGGGGGAUAGCUCGCCGAAAGGCGAAUUAAUACCGCAUGUGAUUAGAGAGGACAUCCUUUCGAAAUUAAAGUCGGGGCAACCUGACGCUUCUUGUGGGGCCCGCGGCCUAUCAGCUAGUUGGUGAGGUAAUGGCUCACCAAGGCUUUGACGGGUAGCUGGUCUGAGAGGACGACCAGCCACACUGGGACUGAGACACGGCCCAGACACCUACGGGUGGCAGCAGUCGAGAAUUUUUGACAAUGGGGGAAACCCUGAUCGAGCGACGCCGCGUAGAGGAUGAAGGUCUUCGGAUUGUAAACUCCUGUCAUUGGGGAACAAUGCACAGAUAUUAACUGUAUUUGUGUUGAUAGUACCCGAAGAGGAAGAGACGGCUAACUCUGUGCCAGCAGCCGCGGUAAUACAGAGGUCUCAAGCGUUGUUCGGAUUCAUUGGGCGUAAAGGGUGCGUAGGCGGCGCGGUAAGUCGGGUGUGAAAUCUCGGAGCUUAACUUCGAAACUGCAUUCGAUACUGCCGUGCUUGAGGACUGGAGAGGAGACUGGAAUUCACGGUGUAGCA
Molecule: ribosomal RNA, 620 nt
Filed under: uncultured Verrucomicrobiota bacterium
Lineage: Bacteria; Pseudomonadati; Verrucomicrobiota
Description: bacterial SSU rRNA
Rfam family: Bacterial small subunit ribosomal RNA
Source: RNAcentral